Molecule: ribosomal RNA, 449 nt
Filed under: uncultured bacterium
Lineage: Bacteria
Description: partial 16S ribosomal RNA
Rfam family: Bacterial small subunit ribosomal RNA
Source: RNAcentral
AACGAACGCUGGCGGCAGGCUUAACACAUGCAAGUCGAACGCCACCUUCGGGUGGAGUGGCAGACGGGUGAGUAACGCGUGGAAACAUACCUUUUGCUUCGGAAUAUUCCCGGGAAACUGGGAGCAAUACCGAAUGUGCCCUGAGGGGGAAAGAUUUAUCGGCAAAAGAUUGGUCCGCGUUAGAUUAGGUAGUUGGUAGGGUAAAGGCCUACCAAGCCUACGAUCUAUAGCUGGUCUGAGAGGAUGAUCAGCCACAUUGGGACUGAGACACGGCCCACACUCCUACUGGAGGCAGCAGUGGGGAAUAUUGGACAAUGGGCGCAAGCCUGAUCCAGCCAUGCCGCGUGAAUGAUGAAGGCCUUAGGGUUGUAAAAUUCUUUCACCGGGGACGAUAAUGCCGGUACCCGGAGAAGAAGCCCCGGCUAACUUCGUGCCAGCCGCCGCAGUAA